This 253-nucleotide ribosomal RNA is filed under the name uncultured bacterium. RNAcentral describes it as "partial 16S ribosomal RNA". It matches the Rfam family "Bacterial small subunit ribosomal RNA", at positions 524 to 776 of the family's 1533-position model. The record is from RNAcentral.
UACGUAGGGUGCGAGCGUUGUUCGGAAUUACUGGGCGUAAAGCAUGCGUAGGCGGUUUAGUAAGUUAGAUGUGUAAUCCCCGGGCUUAACUCGGGAGCUGCAUUUAAGACUGCUAGACUAGAAUAUGGUAGGGGGUAGUGGAAUUCUUAGUGUAGGGGUAAAAUCCGUAGAUAUUAAGAGGAACACCAGAAGCGAAGGCGACUACCUAGGCCAUUAUUGACGCUGAGGCAUGAAAGCGUGGGGAGCAAACAGG